GCGUCCCUACUGUGUACGUGAUAACAGCUAUGUUUUGACCCAACAGCAACAACAAAGGGAGCCUGGACUCUACAUGUGGCACAUAUGCCUCACGAAGGACAUGUAAAGCAUGUAGGAGGGCACCCACCUGAAGUGAAUCAGGUUCAAAACAUGGUAGUACACGGCACAGCGGGGACUUU
RNAcentral lists this non-coding RNA (179 nucleotides) under Natranaerobius trueperi. RNAcentral's name for it is "6S / SsrS RNA". It matches the Rfam family "6S / SsrS RNA". From Rfam's summary of the family: E. coli 6S RNA was the first non coding RNA to be sequenced, but its function was unknown until recently. It consists of 184 nucleotides that fold into an extended hairpin structure with a large single-stranded internal bulge. The 6S RNA specifically associates with RNA polymerase holoenzyme containing the sigma70 specificity factor. The record is from Rfam by way of RNAcentral. Lineage: Bacteria; Bacillati; Bacillota; Clostridia; Natranaerobiales; Natranaerobiaceae.